Molecule: long non-coding RNA, 3348 nt
Organism: Melospiza georgiana
Lineage: Eukaryota; Metazoa; Chordata; Aves; Passeriformes; Passerellidae
Exons: 2
Source: RefSeq, a predicted model, not a curated record
UCUAGAAGCUUUAUUUCAACCCUUUACAAUAGUAAGAAUCACAACAUCAAGUCAGGAAAUGUUGCUAAGGAGACGACGCUCGUACAGCCCCCGGGGUGGGGAGACACAAAGGCAGAAGCAACCGCUGGGCUCCCCCCUGAGCUGCUGCCUCACACCGAGCACUGAUCUCCCCUCACAGCCCCCGCCUCCCCACCACGGUGCAGGGACCGCGGAGUCCCCCCUCCUCGGGCACGCCCUGCAGAAUAAUCCAAUAAUCCUAUGACACAAAAUAAUAAUAACACGUCACAUUUAGAGAACACGUUCACGCGCUGCUCGCGCCUCACAACAGCCCGGUGAGGUAAAAUUGAAUCCCCCCCACCUUUGCAGAUGGGGAAACUGAGGCAGAGAGGUUGAGUGGCUUCCCGAGGGAGCCGAGGGCCGGGAUCGCCCUCCGGGGCGCUGCCCCGAGCCCUCGUGCCCGGCCGCACGCCCCAGCCCGCGGUCACUGCGCUCGCUCCUUGGUGCUCUGCGUGAGGGAGAGCGGGGGCUGCGGGCGGCCGGGCGGGGACGGCGAGGGGCGCUGCGGCCUCGUGUGUGAUCUCGGCCGGCGGGACCCGUGCGAGGAGGGCGGAAGGUGAGCGCUGCCAGGCUGGGGCUCAGGCGGGGAGGGAGGAGGGAGAGCCGGAGCCCCUCAGAGCCCUUUCCAUGCUGCUGCUGCUGCUGCUGCCGCCCGGAGCCUCCUCUGCCCCACCUGCCAGCUCCGCGGGCCACGAGGCCUUGGGGACAUUUCCCCUCAGCCUGGAGGCCGCUCAGCCCCUUGGGGGACAUUUCCCCUCAGCCUGGAGGUCACUCGGCCUUGAGGGACAUUUCCCCUCAGCCUGGAGGCCGCUCAGCCCCUUGGGGGACAUUUCCCCUCGGCCUGGAGGCCGCUCGGCCUCGGGGACAUUUCUCCAUGCCUUGAGGCUGCUGAGCCCCAGCGCGGCCGCUCGGCCUCAGCGAGGCCGCGGCCCCGCGGGGACUCGGCCCUGCCCUCAGGGGAGCCCCGUCACCCCAAGGACGCCACCGACACCAAGCUCCAAGAAAAGUAGGAAUUCUGCCUAGACACGAACACGUGAGGCCCGGGGCCCCUCUCACACACCACACUACGCGGGGACAGCGCGAGGGGCAGCGUAGAAAACUACAUUCAGUUUGCGGCCGGGAGCCGAGCGGGAGCCACGCUGGGGCGGCCGCGGCCUCGAGCCCACCAACUCGGUUACUCGAAUGUUGCUGUUUAACAGUACAAAAAGCCCAAAGAACUGUGGAUGCCACUGAUAUGCCGAGAGGCGCCGGGCUCCGGCGGCUGCCGGCCGGGGAAGGCUCCGGCCGCCCGGAGGAAGCGCGGCCCCGCCGGGGUGGAGCUCGCACCCGGCCCCGCCGCUUCCCCCAGCCCUGCGGCAGCUCAGCCCCUCCAGAGCGCCGCUCCUCACCCUGAGCUCUGCAAAGGCCUUUGCCGAGCAUCCUGCCCGGAGCCAGCCACCGACCUGGCCCCGCUCAGCCCCUGCCCAGCCCACAGUGCCCCCAGUGCGGCCAAAGCCAGGACCCCCGGCGCCAGCUCGGGACAGGAACGUGUACAUUCAACUUGCAUCUCAUUCAGAGCUCAGCUCCUGUUUCCCCCGGGAUUCGCUGCCUCCAGCCCUCGAUGGAGCCACCGGCGCCCGCAGCCCCUUCCCCAGCAGCAUUAAGGUCUCAGCACUACCCAGCUCAUCCCACCUCUCCAGACAGGAAACUAAAGUCAUUCCCACCACACACGGCUCCUUCCCAGCCUAGCAAUAUGUACAGCCGCUUCCUCAAAGUUAAAAAAGAAAUCCGUAUUAAAACUGAAGCUGUCCUAGAAACACCACGGCAAACUAGUGUAUCUGGAUUUAGUUCAUCAGCUAAACACAGGCACAACAAGUGUUAGAGAAGUGGCACAGAAGCACGGGCCGGGGGUGAGCUGGGCCGGGGUUUGGGCAGGGACAGCCUGGGCACCGCACGCAGCCACCGCGCCCGGCCAGGGCCGCCCGGCGCUCGGGGAAUCAUCGGGAAUCGGAGAAAAGCAGUGCAGGGAGGUGACUCACUGUCCCUUUGCAGCGGGGCAGGGCUGUUUGCUUUUUGCAAUCUCAGAAGAUAAAGUGCAAUGUUGCCAUUUGCUUUCCUCCUGCAGUCCCUGAACCGGGACCGGCUGCUUCCCUUUGCCCGGGGCCUCACCUGGGCACCCUGGGAAUACCAUCCUGGGGCACCCUGGGAAUGUCAUCCUGGGGUAUCCCAGGGAAUCUCAUCCUGGGGCAUCCCAGGCCACCAUCCCUGGGGUGCCCCAGGAAGAGCAGCAAGAGGAACAAGACAUCUCAGCCUGCACCUCCUCUUUGGUUGCCCCCGCACAUCUCCGGCUGCCGCCAGCUCACAAACGCUGCUCCCAGCGCCCCUCCCGGCCGGUGAGCCUGGAGCUCGGCUCCGGCCCUGCCGAGGCCACCCCGGCUGCUUAUAGGCUGGGAACAGAGGCUCCAGGCUCACCGUCCUGCCGAGGGGCUCACCCUGCUCCUCUCCUCUCCUAAUUCUCCCUCAAUUCAAGUGUUGGAAAAAAAAUAAUCGACCAAAGCAAAGGCAAGGCUGCCAAGCUGAAGCUGGUGUGUAGAAUUUAGCAGUAAAGAAAGAAGGAAGCGUCACGGGAGGGCAGUGAUAUAUACCGGCACACGGGGAUCGAGCAGGGCUCCGGGGAGCGGGGCCGCCUCCAGCUCCUCCUCCGGGAACGCCGGGGACACAGGGACACACAGGGAGGGCACGGAGCGACGGCACGGCCGCCUGCCCCGCCGGGGUCACAGGGAUGCGGAGGGGAGUGGGGAGGUGGGGAGGAGGAGGAGGAGGAAAAGGAGGAGGAGAAGGAGGAGGAAGACGAAGGGAAGCACUGGGAGGUCUCUGGGUAUAUAUAACCGCCCCUUUCAGGUGCAAAUCUGCAUCGUUUAAAUUUGUAUUCAGAUGAAAAAGCACUUAUGAAACUACCAGACGACUUUGAUGCAAACUAGUACAUUUUAAUGCCAUUUUAUUAGAAACCAUGCAAACUUUAAUAUAAAAAAUACAAGUGCAAUAAGAAUCUUUGUGUGUAAAUACAGAUUCCGGGUUAUCGUGUCGUUGUUGGCUUCCCAAAGAAAUACUCCCACAAGCACGAGAAGCUGCAGGCUUCCCUCUGUCCCCUCCUGGAGCAGCCCCCCUUAGCACACACCUGGUUCAGUUCUCUUUGAUCCCAGUGUUUUGUUAUUCUGCUUGCCUUUUUUUUUUUUUGUUUCUUUAAAUUAGUUCGACCACCCAAGAACACUUUUCUUUUGUUUUAAUUUAUUUACAUUUCGUUUCUUUAGU